GUUGACAAAAAGCAUACUACCAACGUCGCCAGUCGGCUUGCGUUGGGUUUUUUUCCCUUCCUGUCAGAAAGCGCAAGGCGACGCGCCUGCGCACAAGGAGCGAAAGGCUGGGUAGCCUAGCAACCGGAGCGGGCCUACCAAACCACCCGCCUCUGCUGGAGUUGGUUAAGCCCCCGACUGACCCCGAAGAAAAGCGGGGCUGCUGCAGGAAUCUCAACCCCAUCGCUAGAUGCAGUAGCUUCAGCUGCAUCCGUACGAGUCUCGCUGACUCUGUUUCGGAAGCUCUGUGUGUGGAUCAUUCUGUUUCAUUUCUACCCCGCUUUCCCCCCUGAUAGGACGGGACUUCCAGAUUUUUUUAAAAAAGAGCGAGAAAAAAAAUAAUUGCUUAAAACAUAAGGGGGAAAUACAAUUAAAUAUUGGUAGAUUCGAAGCUUUUUAUAUUAAAUCUAUAUAUUAAAGUCAGGCAAAUAAUAAUAAUAAUUUAUUAUUUAUACCCCGCCCAUCUGGCUGAGUUUCCCCAGCCACUCUGGGCACCUCCCAAUUGAGUCUUAAAAACAAUACAGCAUUAAAUAUUAAAAACUUCCCUAAACAGGGCUGCCUUCAGAUAGGAUAGCUGCUUAUUUCCUUCACAUCUGAAGGGAGGGUGUUACACGGGGUGGGCGCCACUACCAAGAAGGCCCUCUGUCUGGUUCUCUGUAACUUGGCUUCUCGCAGGGAGGGAACUGCCAGAAGGCAGAAGGCGCUGGACCUCAUUAUCCAGGCUGAACAAUGGGGGUGGAGGCGCUCCUUCAGGUAUACUGGGCCGAGGCUGUUUAGGGCUUUAAAGGUCAGCACCAACACUUUGAAUUGUGCUCGGAAACGUACUGGGAACCAAUGCAGAUCUCUCAGGACCAGUGUUAUGUGGUCCCGGCGGCCACUCCCAGUUCCCAGUCUAGCUGCCGCAAUGAUUCCCAAAUCAUUGCAAUAUAAAACAGCUGGGCAGCAGUCCUUCCAUUGGAAGCAGUCAGAAGCCCCUUGGAACAAAGAGGGUCUCCCACCUGCUCUGGGAAGGACAAGGAGAGAGAGAGAUCCGGUCUAGCUUCUCCAGAGAAGGGAGUUCCAGAGUCUGGGAGCAGCCACUGGGAAGGCCCCUUCCUGGGUGCCUGAGAAGGUGGCAGGACCAAGAGAAGGGACUCCCAGCGUAGCAGCAUCCAUCCUCAAGGAGGAGAUGGCGGCACCUCCAGUCCUCCGCUGCCGAAAUAUUCUCACCCUUUUUGACAGGGUUCCUGGUCAGGGAUACAGUGAUACAGGCUUUCCCCAGGAAAAUCUUCCGCUUUCACAUUCUUGCCUCCAGCCUAUGGUUAAAUGCACCAAAACCCUGCCGUAGGAAAAGGUUAAAACCCUAUGUAUCGUAUCGAUUGCUGAUAAGAAAUCUCCAAUGUUAUAUAUGCAAUUGGGGCAGGUCAAAGACAUUUUUACCUAAUCCAAAUAACAGCCUCCUCUUCAACUAAUUAAUAAGAGACGCUAUCUACUCCAAAGUUCCUCAACACAACUGUCGUCAAAAUGAUCAGUAAUGCCCUUUUGCAGUUUCCAUGCAUCUUGGUAGACCAAGGUAACCUUCCAGUGGCUUGUGCCUUUGAGUCAGCUCUGUCUGUAUCGCACCACAGCUCUUAGUGAUGCCAAAAAUCCUAAGCCCCUUCCACAUUACUUCAUGGUAAGGCUAGGGCUACCAUCUGCACCUUUUUAGCUGAACCAUUCCUAUUGAGUCUAUAGAGUGUCUGGCAAUUUCACUAUCAUAUUGUUACAGGAUUGAAGGGCUUGGUUGCUUGGAAUGAAAUCUGUGGAUCCCUUCCAAGCCAGUGGUUUUGUAUUUUAUCUGUAAGAUGGGAGUCUAUAGCAGAAGGAACUGCUGAAACAGUCAAGCCAGUCUCUUUGUUAACUCAGUGGUCCAGCCUGUUAAGCAUCCUUUUAAUAUGUCUAAAGAGCUGGUUAAAUACAGCUAGAUUCUCAUAGAAACAGCUAGCUAGUGAUGCUUCCCAAAGAAGGGGGCAGUCCUUACCCCCUCACCUGGCUGGAUGACAAGUCCUUGGAGUAGGAGAAUAAUAGGCCAGUGGCUAGCCUUUGGCCAAUCUCACCCAUCCAGCUGUGAAGACACAGGUGCUUGGCAUGUUCUCUUCUGCAACCAGAACUGUGGCUUUGCAUUAGAGGUAGGUUGGUCUGCUGUAGUUGAAACAAAAUAAAAAAAUUCCUUCCAGUAGCACCUUAGAGACCAACUAAGUUAAUUAUUAGUAUGAGUUUUUGUGUGCAUGCACACUUCUUCAGAUAGUAUCUCAUACCAAUAACUAAGUUAGUUGGUCUCUAACUAAGGAAUUUUUUUUAUUUUGUUGUGGCUUUGCAUGGCCUUGGAAGGAGGCCUUCCUGGGGGAGCAAGAGCUUUGUGAGGCCUCCCUGGGAGAUCUGGAUCUGUUGCAAGUGUUAAUGCUAUGAGCUCUUCCAUCUUGUGCUCAAGUUGUAUAAGGAGCUAUGUGUUGAAAUGCCCAUGUUAUAGUUGAAUAAGUUAGUUAUAGUUAUAACCUGUUAUAGUUAAAUAAACCCCCCUAAUUUUGUAAAACAAAAAAGCAAAUUGCUGCAUUCUGAACUUUUAAUUUUUUCAGGACACAGUAACAUAGGAGAAGACCACCAUCAUGUGAAUAUUAAGGGAGACAGGCACCUCUUUCACUACAAUGUCACAUUUUUUGCUGUUGACAGAAUGGGCUCGUCCACACUUCCGCUUGUGCCUGUGCCUAGAAAGCACAGGCCCGAGUGGUCUUCCCCUUGCCCUGCUCCUUUCCAAGGGAAAACCCACUCUUUACCUAUAGAUUGGAACAAAUGGCAAUCCAGGGGGAACCCGAAUUGCCGUUUGUUCCAACUGAGCGCUAAAAAGCUGUUUUCCUUGGGGGAAAGCUGUGGGACAAGGUGAAGUGUGGAGAAGCCCAAUGUCCUAAUAUCUCCUGGAGUAAUCUAUGUGCCCUGGUGGACUCAAGGACACUGAUUUUCAUUCAAUCCCAGUAAAUCUUGGAGAAGAUGGCAAAGCUUUGGUCUCCCCACCCACCCUGGAGGGAAUACAGAGCCAGCCCUUCCAUAGGCAGAGUAAGGCAACUGCCUCAGGCAGCUGAUACUACAGGGAAGUUGAGGUAAUUUUAAUCCGUUUUAUUAUUUUAAAUUGCUUAUAUCUUAAAGUAGAGUUGUAUUUCCCCCCCUUGACGCUACUGUUUUAUGUUUUGUAAACUGCAUUGAGAGGUGUUUUUUUGCAGUCAACGGGUGCAUAAGUUUGACAAAAUUAAAAAUAAAUAAAGAAGAUUGGUGGCAGGAUUACUACUGAUUAUCAUUAUUCUUUCUCUCCGCUAGAGGGCAGACUUUGCUCAAGAAAGAAUAAGACUAAAUAAAUAAACAAAUCAAUGAGCAAGCAAACAAUAUCUGGACAUGAAAAUGGAAGAGUUUUAAGGUUGCGGGAGAGGCAGGGUAACACAGCCAUGAGACUGGGCUCAAUCCAAUUCAAUCACUUAAAAUGAAGGGGAUCUUAAAGGGUUCUUAUAAUAUCCUCUCCCCCCUUAAAAAAAAAAUGGACUGUUCACAACCUGCUGAAGAAGGGUCUCUCAGCCACUUGUUUUAAACUUCAGAGGUGUUGAUGUUGAUCUAGGGAGGCAAAAGCACGAAAGAAUCCUUCAGCACUUGUUAGCAAAAAGCUAACAAAUCUAUUGUGUAAUGAGCACCGUGAGUCUUUGCAGGGACCAGUCCCUGGCCAGCCUUGCCUUGGGGGAAUAAGAUGCAGGCCAGCAGGCAUGGUCAGAUGAUGUGAUGCACUGCCCCUGGAGGCAAGCUCAGGAGGACUAUAUAAGACUUGCAUUUCACUGUGGGUUUUUGCCACAGCAAUGUGGUUUCAUGCUAUGCUGUGGUCUGCUCCUGUGUUCCAGUUAUCCUGCAUCCUGGCCUCCUCUGGUCCCUGAUCUCUGUUGGACUUGCUCCUGACUGUGGACCCGCCACUUGGACUGCUACCACCACCCAUACCCUGGUCCUGGUGUCGGACCUGGACUCUUUGCACCCAUGCCCUGGAUCGUGACAGCAUAAGCUUUUGUGGCCCAGUUUGGUCACUGUAGGGUGCCCUACUUGACCCUGGGCUCAGCCUAAACUAUCUUAGAGUUACUUUGAGGAUGAAACAGAAGGGAGGGAGCAUGUCUGCUGACUUUAGUUCCUUGAAGGAAAAGCAGCAGCAGGCGGAGGAUGUUGUGUAUUACAUUUGUAGUUGCUGUAUACUAAAAAAAACAAAAAAAAGCAACACUGCAAGAUAAGCUGAAGGCAACAGAUAUUUGUUUCUUUACCUCUGUGUGCGCAAGCAAAUGCAAUUUGCACACAGAGAUGUCUUCCUUGCUACAAGUGGGAGUUUUCCUUCCCUCCCUCCAACUCUGAAAAGGCAGAAGAACUCUCAUGGCCCAGCAUUCAGCCCCACUUGUGCCUUGGCUUGCUGUGUGGCAAAAUACUGGCUUCUACAAAGAGGUAAACAUUGACUGUUAGGUGCAAAAAUGUCCAGUUCUGGGACUGUGUUUACUUGUAUCUUGGGCUACAUGGCUGCAGUCUUCUAGGUGGUCUGUCAGUGCCUUGGUCAUUUUAGGGUGCAUUUCAUGCCCCCUGCUUCUAAUGAGAGAUGUACAGAUAUAGCCCUUUCAGUGCUGAUCAGUUGGUGUUGGGCUGUACAUCAACCACAUUUCAGCUUUCUGAGUGGCCUGGCAGGGUAGUGCUAUAAUACUUCUUGUCCCUCAUUUCUAGAGAUAGACUUCGAAAUGGUCUCCUUUCAAACGGUUUUAAUGAUAAGAAUUAUGUGUAUUCCGGAUUUCUAGGUGGUCUAGAAAUAAGCAUAUGGGACAAGCUUUUAACUCUUUCAGUUUGACACACAAAUAUCUAGAUGGGUAUUUCAGACCCUCCAAGUGUCCCUAUUUUCCAGGGACGUCCCUGAUUUAGAGAAGCCGUUCUAGUUUCUGAUUUGAUUCCAGAAUGUCCCACUCUUCCUUAGGAUGUCCCUAUUUUUAUUGGAGAAAUGUUGGAGGGUAUGGUAGGAUGUCCUUAUUUUCACUGGAGGGUAUGGAGUUAUCCAACCCGCGAGCUGUCUGAAGGCAAUCCUAUAUAGGGAAGUUUUUUUUAAAAAAAGAAGUUUAAUGUUUCAUUAUGUUUUUAUAUAUGUUGGAAGCUGCCCAGAGAGGUUGGGGCAACCCAGUGAGAUGUGUGGGGUAGAAAUAGUAAAAUUAUCAUUAUGGAAUGGGACGUCCCUAUUUUCAUUGGAGAAAUGUUGGAGGGUGUGGUAUUUAUAAGCUGAGAUAAGACAAACUUCUAACAAGUGCUCUAUAAGAGCUUGAGGGACGUGGGUGGUGCUGUUCAGAAGGUCAGCAGUUCAAAUCCCCGCGACGGGGUGAGCUCCCAUUGCUUGGUCCCUGCUUCCUCCAACCUAGCAGUUCGAAAACACAUCAAAGUGCAAGUAGAUAAAUAGAUACCACUCUGGUGGGAAGGUAAACGGCAUUUCCAUGCGCUGCUUUGGUUUGCCAAAAGCAGCUUAGUCAUGCUGGCCACAUGACCUAGAAGCUGUACGCCAGCUCCCUUGGCCAGUAAAGCGAGAUGAGCGCCACAACCCCAGAGUCGGCCACGACUGGACCUAAUGGUCAGGGGUCCCUUUACCUUUACCUAUAAGAGCUUGGCCACUUUGGGAAGGGGGCUGUGGAUAGAGCCCCAGCUAUUGUGUGAAAGUGAACUAGUCCCUGCCUCAUGCUUGUGAAUCACUGACAAAUUCUUGAUUAGGCAGAGAAGCGGAAGUUGGUUUGGUGGCCAUGGGCAAAAGAGGACUGGGCUCCUGCAACUUUGCAGAGAAAAGGGGCUUUACAGCAGGUAUAGCUUGCAAGACAGUUCUUCACAGUGCCUCUUUUGCAUCUAACAGCCACCCUAAUUUCCAUGCCUGCAGAAUUUCAGGACCAGAGAAUUCUGAAUGGCAAGACUGCUUCCUCCUCCCUUCUCCUUCAGAGACCUCUAACCUGCCCCUGAACACUAGGAAAUUAAUUUGUACUCUGAAUCAAGCUUUUUCUUUUUUUUUAAGAGAGUUCAUGGUUGUUGGGAAAAAUAUACCUAGCUAUCCUGUUCCAUAAAAUACUCAGGCAUUUCUGGCACCAUAAAGUCCUAUUGAACGAGCACACUGACUCCUGCAAACUCCCAGUUCUUCAAAAUGAAAGUCUGGCUCCUGACCCUAACCCAUGAUUAGUCAGAAGAAAGUCCCACUCCAGCCUGCAAUCUGGUGGUGCCACCUCUUACAACCUCUGCUC
This 6317-nucleotide long non-coding RNA is filed under the name Podarcis lilfordi (Lilford's wall lizard). Lineage: Eukaryota; Metazoa; Chordata; Lepidosauria; Squamata; Lacertidae. The record is from RNAcentral.